Molecule: long non-coding RNA, 758 nt
Organism: Aedes aegypti (yellow fever mosquito)
Lineage: Eukaryota; Metazoa; Arthropoda; Insecta; Diptera; Culicidae
Exons: 2
Source: RefSeq, a predicted model, not a curated record
AUGUAAAAAUAAUGACGAUAACGUUAUUUUUUGAUUUUAUACGAAUUUUUGUUCUUAGCUAUGCGGCUAUUGGUUCAUCGACCCUAACUAUAACAUAGAUGAAUACUAGGAGAAUUCUUUGAGAAAUAUCUAGUGAAAUCUUUCAGCUAUCUUUAGAAGAAUCAAUGUGUAGUAAUUCAUGAACUUCUUUACAGACAAACCUCCAUGAUUCGAUUGAAGGGACCAUGCAUCGACAUCUGGAGAUAUAUCACUGACUAAACUGACGUGACUCUCGAUUGCAGACGGUAACCGAAAAUAUUCAACGGUCAAUUCAAAUGAUGAGCGGUCGCAAAUGUCAAACUGAUGCAACGUCAAUAGUACGAAGGUGACAUUUAUACAACGAGCAUCUUCAUCAGUCAAACCAAACAAUACACACCGGUUUCAAACUAGUAAGGUAUGAGUAAAGUACUAAAUCUAAAAUAAACUAAAUCAAUUUCGUAUGAUGCAUUUUAGUUUUGUCAAAACUAUCGACAAUCAUGUCAGUCUGAUUCUAAAGCAAUAUAUUUGAGUCAAGAAAAUUUUAUUUCGUAAAGGAAAGCUUAGAUUUUUGUAUUCUCUAUUUCCCAAAUAUGAUUAAAUAUAUUCCUCGUAUUUUUACCCGAACAUGUGUAGUUUUUCCUAGGAGUGCUAAAGAUUUGUCCGUCAAAGUGUUUCUUUACAAAAACCACCAGGUGGAGUUAGUGUUCCAACGUAUUUUCAUUCAAAUAUUUGGCUAUUAU